UCCUGAGUAGAGUGGCGCACGGGUGAGUAACACGUGGAUAAUCUACCUUUGAAUCCGGGAUAACUGUUCGAAAGAAUCGCUAAUACCGGAUGAAGUCAUUGAGUCCUCGGACCCAAUGAUGAAAGACAGCCUCUUCUUGAAAGCUGUUGUUUGAAGAUGAGUCCGCGCACCAUUAGUUUGUUGGUGGGGUAACGGCCUACCAAGACAUCGAUGGUUAGCUGGUCUGAGAGGAUGAUCAGCCACACUGGAACUGACACACGGUCCAGACUCCUACGGGAGGCAGCAGUGAGGAAUUUUGCGCAAUGGGGGCAACCCUGACGCAGCAACGCCGCGUGAGUGAAGAAGGCCCUUGGGUCGUAAAACUCUGUCAAUGGGGAAGAAGUUACUUCAUAUUAAUAGUAUGUUGUAUUGACGGUACCCAUGAAGGAAGCACCGGCUAACUCCGUGCCAGCAGCCGCGGUAAUACGGGGGGUGCAAGCGUUAUUCGGAAUUAUUGGGCGUAAAGGGCACGCAGGCGGUCUUGCCAGUCAGAUGUGAAAGCCCGGGGCUCAACCCUGGAAGUGCAUUUGAAACUACAAGACUUGAGUACGGUAGAGGAAAGGGGAAUUCCUGGUGUAGAGGUGAAAUUCGUAGAUAUCAGGAGGAACACCGGUGGCGAA
This 659-nucleotide ribosomal RNA is filed under the name uncultured bacterium. RNAcentral describes it as "bacterial SSU rRNA". It matches the Rfam family "Bacterial small subunit ribosomal RNA", at positions 84 to 719 of the family's 1533-position model. The record is from RNAcentral.